CUCUCAUCUCCCUGCCAAGACCUCAAAUAAAAUCGUUUCCUCCUGAAAAUGCCCAUCUCGGAACCUUGGCUGUGCCCCGAGGGAGGCACCGGAAUGGCAAAAGUGAGGACAUACGGCUGCCAGCAUCGUCUAUGCUCUAGAUAGGGGUCAAAUGUCAACUUUCUGCCAGGUCCAGCCCGGAUGUGAGGGCUGUGAAGGCAACAACCAAGGAACCAUUCCUUCGGAUGGAAGUCCUAUGGCAGAGAGAAGCUGAUGUUUGAAUUUUCCUGUAGAGCCCUUGAGGUUCCAUGAAUCAGUCUGGGAAGGAUGCAGGUUAAGUGGGAAGCAGAAGCCCUCAAUCACGUGAUGACGGAAAAGCCGAAAAGGCUGGGUUAUACCCUUAGGAAACCUAUUUGUUUCUUGGCUCCCUGCAGGGGCAUGCACACUAGCAAAGGCUCAAUCCCUUCAUUAUUCAUUUGAUCACAAAAGAAGGAAUGAGAGGAAAAAUACUUUUAUUUUUCACCAAGCAAUCACCAAGCGCAGUCUCAACGAAGAGCCCCUCCUUCUUUCAUGUCUUCUUUUGUGUGUGACUUACUCAGUCUAAGUUUCAUCCACAGGUAAAGGAACCCAAGCUGGGCCCAAUGCCAAGUGCACUUCUUCAAUGUUACAUUCUGGGACAGGAGAGAGGAUCACUGGUUGAGCCUACCUACUCUGUGGACACAUUGUAAUCCUGAAACUGUUCUGAGCUUCCAUUCAUGGCCAGGACACCUGAUCACUUCAUCGUUGGGUUCUGUGUUUGAAAACUGGGCCAGCUCUGAACCUGGGUGACAGAACACACUGUGGAGAAACCUUGUCUCUAGGAUCUUGCUCAUACACUCUUGGCUCCUCUUGCUCUGGUGGAGCUCCUCAGUGCCCACUGGGAAAGUGAUCUGGCUCCCAAGACCACCAGCCUGUUCAAGUCAUGGAUGGCACCAGUUUUCACAGGCUGAGUGAUUAGAAAACAGACUCUGGGACAGCUGUGUACAUAAGAGUCAUCUGGGCAUUGCUCUUACAAUCCCUGUAGAAGACAAGAGCUCAGAUUGACCCACCCGAAGUCCCUGGGAUUCACUUCUUCACCCUUCACACCUCGGCUUGCAGAAACAAGAUGCCACGUUUGACUUUAUGUGGUUGCUGGGAACAUGAAUUUGGGUCCUAGGGUUUACAAGUCAAGCACUUUACCCAUUGACCAUCUCCCUAGCCGUGUGACUGGCUUCUUUACCUUCAUGAUAACUACUCAUCAGCUAUAUUUUAAUCUGGCAAGGGGACUUGAAUUUGAAUGAGAUGACUCUAGUUAAAUAGUUUUGAUGAGGAGUGACAACUGAAGGCUCUUCGGGGCUAAAGGGAUACUUAGGUGUUGUGUUCCAUCCCCACCCCUGUUGACUAUAUAGGGCGAUACAAUGACUAACACAGGCUGGACACUUUAGAAGACAAACUUCAGACAAUUCCCCACCAAAAGGAUGUAUACCCUGGUUAUGGGUUUUUGGUUUGGGAGACUAUGUAUGCUAAGAUGAAUGUAGCUUGAUGAGUUGGGAAGACACUACAUAUGAGAUGAGCCAUGGUAAAGACUGCAUAAAGACAGGGGCAGACUUGGAUCUUUCCUUUCUCGGUUGCUAAAUGACUGAAAAAGCCUUUUAACCCCAUAGACCUUCUGCUCAUCUAAACAGAGUGGAGGUUGGCACUAUCUAAGACAUAUAAAGAACCGUCAAAACUCAGUGAUUAAAAUAUUAGACUAGGAAACUUAGAAAAGACAGAUCUGCCACUAAAGAGGCUAUAAAGAUGACAAAGUAGUAUAUGAAAAGAGGAUCAACAGCAUAAGCCAUCAUAGAAACACUCAGUAAACAUACAGUAUGAUACACUAAGGAGUUGAGGGGUCACUCAGUGGUUAGGGGCACAGAGGACUCUGCCAGAGGACUUGAGUUCACUUCCCAUCUCAUGUGGUUCGCAAUUGCCUAUAACUCCAGCUCCAAGGGUGAGGAUGGUCUUCCACACACACAUGCACACACACACACACACACACACACACACACACACACACACACACAUACACACAUACAUGCACAAAUGCGCAUGCUCACACACAAACACAUACUCACAUAUAUAAAUAAAAUAGAGAUCCUACCCUACUAUCAGAAUGGUUCAAAAAAUUUAAGGACAUCAACAAACACUGGCAAGGAUGUCAGACUCAUACGCAGCUACUGAGAAUGUAAAAUGGGACAAUCAGUCUAAAAACUGCAUUGAUGUCUCUAGGAAAUCAAACAUAUGCCUGCCAUAUGACCCAGAAAACAUUUUCCUAAGGCAUUUAUCCAAGAGAAGUGAAAGUGCACAAAAUCUACAUAUGCAUUUUCAUAUAUGUUGAUUUUCAAUAACUAGAAAUAACCCAAGCAUCUCACAACAAGCGAGCAAUUAGACAAACUACCAAGUCCACAUUCAGAAAUACUACUCACCAAUAGCAAUGAGAACAGUGUCGGUCUACACAACAACUCAGGUGGAUAUCAAGAGAAUCAUGCUGGGGAGGGAAAUUUCAGACUUCCGUAUGGUGUUUGAUAAAAUUUAUGCAACAUUCUUAAAAUUAAUCAAAGUAUAAAUCUGGAGACAUAUUAUUGCUGGUCACAGGUCGGGAGAAGGGACAGGUGGCAGUUGGUUCUAAAAGGUAUCACAAGAGGCCACUGAUGGGACGAGUCUAAGUUUGACUAUGGUGGUUUUCUUUUUCUCGGUUUUCUUUUUCUAUGAUAAACACCAUUACCAAACGCAAUUUGGAGAGGAAAGGGUUUGUUUCAUCUGACAGGAGACAGAUUGAAAGCAGGACCUUAAAGCAGAAACCACAGAGGGAUGCCCUUUAGUGGUUUGCUCCGUGUUCAGCUAGCUUUCUUAGACAACCUAAGCGACCUGCCUAGGGAAGAUGCUCCCCGUAGUAAACUGGACAGAGAAGGUACCACACACAUCCCCAUAGGCAACCUGAUGGAGGCCAUCCCUUAACCGGCAGGUUCUUUCUUCCCAAGUGUAUCUCAUAGAGAGGCACACGAGUCUCUCCACAUAACAAAGUUACAGACAGAGUGGCACCGGCCUAAAAUCUCAACUACGCAGGUGACAGAGGCAGAAGGAUUGCAAGUUUCAGGUAUGCCUGUGUUACAGAUUGGGAUCAACGCUACCUUGGGCAACUUAAGUCAGAUGGAACCAGAAGGCUGGGGAUACAUCUCAGCGGUAGAGCACUGGCUUAGCCUGUGUAGGUCAGUUUCUAGUAUGGCAAGCAAUCAAUGAAUAGCUGAAAAUAUGCAUGUCUAAGCACAGGGCAAAACUAUGAAACCUGGAUAUGACUAGUAUAGUCUGUCAAUUUUCUGGUUGUGAAGUGGUGUUGUGGUUAUGCAAUCUGUUGCCAACUAAUAAAAACUGGUAUGCAUAUGAA
Molecule: long non-coding RNA, 3421 nt
Filed under: Mus musculus (house mouse)
Lineage: Eukaryota; Metazoa; Chordata; Mammalia; Rodentia; Muridae
Description: RIKEN cDNA E130008D07 gene
Source: RNAcentral